CUACUAGUUCUGGAACUUUUCAAGUUGAGU
This 30-nucleotide non-coding RNA is filed under the name Cricetulus griseus (Chinese hamster). Lineage: Eukaryota; Metazoa; Chordata; Mammalia; Rodentia; Cricetidae. The record is from RNAcentral.